GACGAACGCUGGCGGCGUGCUUAACACAUGCAAGUCGAACGGAAAGGCCCUGCUAUUGUGGGGUUCUCGAGUGGCGAACGGGUGAGUAACACGUGAGUAACCUGCCCUUGACUUUGGGAUAACUUCAGGAAACUGGGGCUAAUACCGGAUAGGAGCUCCCGCUGCAUGGUGGGGGUUGGAAAGUCUCGGCGGUUGGGGAUGGACGCGCGGCUUAUCAGCUUGUUGGUGGGGUAGUGGCUUACCAAGGCUUUGACGGGUAGCCGGCCUGGGAGGGUGACCGGCCACCUUGGGACUAAGAGACGGACCAGACUCCUACGGGGGGCAGCGGUGGGAAAUAUUGCACAAUGGGCGGAAGCGUGAUGCAGCGACGCCGCGUGCGUGAUGACGGCCUUCGGGUUGUAAACCGCUUUCGCCUGUGACGAAGCGUGAGUGACGGUAAUGGGUAAAGAAGCACCGGCUAACUACGUG
Molecule: ribosomal RNA, 468 nt
Filed under: uncultured bacterium
Lineage: Bacteria
Description: partial 16S ribosomal RNA
Rfam family: Bacterial small subunit ribosomal RNA
Source: RNAcentral